GAUAUCCAUUUUGAAUGACAUCUUAAAAACUCAACAAGUUCCCCUUAAACUUGGAGGAGAACAUUGCAUUCUCUAUGAUAAAUAUUGUUCCUUUAGGCAGAGUUAUAGUUGCUCUUCCGGAGCCUUCAAUCAAUUAAAUUCCCACGGUUGACAACAAAAGAAAAUAUACGAACAUGAGAAUAAACAAAUUCAAUCCGUUUGUUUCAUA
This 208-nucleotide long non-coding RNA is filed under the name Nicotiana benthamiana. RNAcentral describes it as "long non-coding RNA (NBEN_LNC035161)". Lineage: Eukaryota; Viridiplantae; Streptophyta; Magnoliopsida; Solanales; Solanaceae. The record is from RNAcentral.